AUUUUUCUAAACUGUGCACUGCGAAACGGUCUUGUGCGAAGAAAAAUACUAAACGAUGAAUGUCAAGACAAAGCUUCAAGACUCAACUGAGGUAAGGGAUACUAAACAUUCUAAUUUUGGUAGUACAUGCUGCAUUUUGGCAACACGAAAUUCUUUAAAGUCAUAAAUAUAAAUAAAAAUAUUCACUCCUACUGUAUGUCGUAUUGUCGAUCUUAUAUUCUUGACUAGCAAAAUAUAAUCUUAUGUGAAAGGUCCCUACAAUGUUCUGAAGAGUUUAGGCUAUGUAGUGUUCAGGCAAUCGGGUUAUUAAAUAUAUUUCAAUGUUUUGAAGAGUUUAGGAAAUGUAGUAUUGAAGCUGUCGUGUUUAUAAUUUACUAUACACGAAACGGCAGCCAUGUGGUAGUAUUAAGACAAAGAAUCUCAUUAUUUUUUACUGAAUUUCGCACAUUCUUUUAAUUCUCAAGGGAUUGGUUGCAAGACAAGAAUAUAAUCUAUGAUAUAUAGUCAUGUUAACAAAUAACAGAAACGUCAGCUUCUUCAACUCACAGCCAGCUUGGGUUUGCUUGCUUUGCUCUUUCUACUGCCCUUGUGUGUACUGUUAAUAGAUACUAUGUGUUAUGUAAUGUAUUUAAUUCAACCCUACUAGGACUCUGGGCAGAAUACCUACCAAGCCACUCAAACAUGCUUUUUGGGCCUCUAUUAUUACAAUGAUGGGCCAAACAGAAUUGGUGUGUCAGAAUUAAUAUCCUAUUUCUGUCUCUUAUAGGUUAUGGCACUUUCUUAUGAAAAUUCAAAGAAGUGUGUUAAUGCCAUUGUUCCUUUGAAUGCCAAGUUAACUUUGAAUGCAAUGAAUGCCAACUUAACCUUGAAUGCCAUGAAUGCUAACUUAUCUUUGAAUGCUAUGAACACCAACUUGUCUUUGAAUGCUUAUAUUUGGCUUCACUUUUCCGUCGCACCCUACAUUGUCCCCAUUUUCUCCACAGGCCGGCAGGCGGAGUGAACGCCUGAGUAGGCGUCUUGUUUGCUAUCAAUAUCUAACCCUAAUAAUGUAGUAAUGUCAAAUUGAUUCGGUUUUAAUCAUGUAAGGAC
Paramuricea clavata is the source of this 1089-nucleotide non-coding RNA. Lineage: Eukaryota; Metazoa; Cnidaria; Anthozoa; Malacalcyonacea; Plexauridae. The record is from the annotation of a GenBank genome assembly.